This 613-nucleotide ribosomal RNA is filed under the name Hysterangium hallingii. Its description in RNAcentral is "eukaryotic LSU rRNA". It matches the Rfam family "Eukaryotic large subunit ribosomal RNA", at positions 43 to 632 of the family's 3401-position model. Lineage: Eukaryota; Fungi; Basidiomycota; Agaricomycetes; Hysterangiales; Hysterangiaceae. The record is from RNAcentral.
UCAAUAAGCGGAGGAAAAGAAACUACCAAGGAUUCCCCUAGUAACGGCGAGUGAAGCGGGAAGAGCUCAAAUUUGUAAUCUGGCGGUCUCAGGCCGUCCGAGUUGUAGUCUGGAGAAGCGUUUUCCGUGCCGGACCGUGUACAAGUCCCUUGGAACAGGGCGUCGUAGAGGGUGAGAAUCCCGUCUCUGACACGGACCGCCGGUGCCAUGUGAUGCGCUCUCGAAGAGUCGAGUUGUUUGGGAAUGCAGCUCAAAAUGGGUGGUAAAUUCCAUCUAAAGCUAAAUAUUGGCGAAAGACCGAUAGCGAACAAGUACCGUGAGGGAAAGAUGAAAAGCACUUUGGAAAGAGAGUUAAACAGUACGUGAAAUUGUUGAAAGGGAAACGCUUGAAGUCAGUCGCGUCUUCCGAGACUCAACCGGGUGUCUUCAYCCGGUGCACUUCUCGGUGUGACGGGCCAGCAUCGAUUUCGACCGUCGGAGAAAGGCUCGGGGAAUGUGGCACCUCCGGGUGUGUUAUAGCCCCCUGUCGUAUGCGAGGGUCGGGAUCGAGGACCGCAGCACGCCCUUYACCGGGCCGGGGUUCGCCCACGUAACGUGCUUAGGAUGCUGGCGU